Oreochromis niloticus (Nile tilapia) is the source of this 666-nucleotide long non-coding RNA. RefSeq lists it as uncharacterized. The record is from RefSeq and is a predicted model, not a curated record. NCBI's taxonomy places the organism in Eukaryota, Metazoa, Chordata, Actinopteri, Cichliformes, Cichlidae. The transcript is spliced from 3 exons.
GUUAUUUUAAUCCCCUAUUAAAAGUGGCAGGGUUUUUAUUAUGUCAAGGUUUUCUUUUAAUUCCUUUAAUAUUUGGACAAGUAUUGAGAAGUGUACACCUCAAUUUGAAGACUUGUGGGCAAAUAAUUAUAAAUAAUUCAACAAAUUAAUUCACCUGUUCUCAUGUGUAUUCUUCUCUACAGGAAAAAUGCCACAUCAGAUGACAGAAUGCCCAAUAUGCUUGAUUCCAUAUGUUGCAGUUGGGCAGCAUUUUAAAAAAUACCACCAUAUUGUAAACAAAGAAGAAUUACAUUUACUGCUAAAUUACUGCUCUACAGUUUACAGGGGCAGGCUGGACUGUCCAGUAUGUAAAGCAAAAAGCCGUAUAAGACUGGACAAGCAUUUGCAAAAUGUCCACUGUGAUAUUGAGAAAUCAGAUCAGAAAAAAGUAAUAAGGACAGCGAAACGACUGGCUAAUUUGAAAGCCCUCAAAGCUCUCAGACGUUCAAAUCCACAGCCUCCAAUGGUGGCCUCACUGGACAUAGAGCAGCUGACUGAAAGCAGUGAUCAAGAGGAGCGAAGUGAUAGCAGUGAUACCAAUGAAGAUUGUGCAGAGAUUAGAGAAGACAGCUCAGUCCAUUCCCCUGUCAAUCAGUCAGAUGAUUCUCAAGUCCAACAUCAGAACUG